This 1348-nucleotide ribosomal RNA is filed under the name metagenome. RNAcentral describes it as "bacterial LSU rRNA". It matches the Rfam family "Bacterial large subunit ribosomal RNA", at positions 1564 to 2925 of the family's 2925-position model. The record is from RNAcentral.
UGAGUGCGAGCUGCUACGGCAGCGAAGUUGGUGAUGUCAUGCUUCCAAGAAAAGCCCUAUACCCGUUAAGGCAUCAUGGCCUGUACCCGAAACCGACACAGGUGGGGUGGUAGAGAAUACCGAGGGGCGCGAGGUAACUCUCUCUAAGGAACUCGGCAAAAUGGCCCCGUAACUUCGGGAGAAGGGGUGCCACCGCAAGGUGGUCGCAGUGAAGAGGCCCAGGCGACUGUUUACCAAAAACACAGGUCUCCGCUAAGCCGCAAGACGAUGUAUGGGGGCUGACGCCUGCCCAGUGCCGGAAGGUUAAGGAAGCUGGUCAGCGCAAGCGAAGCUAGCGACUGAAGCCCCGGUGAACGGCGGCCGUAACGAUAACGGUCCUAAGGUAGCGAAAUUCCUUGUCGGGUAAGUUCCGACCCGCACGAAAGGCGUAACGAUCUGGCGCUGUCUCGGAGAGAGGCUCGGCGAAAUAGAAUUGUCUGUGAAGAUGCGGACUACGUGCACCCGGACAGAAAGACCCUAUGAAGCUUUACUGUAGCUUGGUAUUGUGCCCGGGCUCGCAAUGCGCAGGAUAGGUGGGAGGCUUUGAUCAUCGGCUUGCGGGUCGAUGUGAGCCAACGGUGAGAUACCACUCUUUGCGAGCUAGGGUUCUAACGGCCACCCGUCAUCCGGGGGCCGGACAGUACCUGGUGGGCAGUUUGACUGGGGCGGUCGCCUCCUAAAAGGUAACGGAGGCGCGCAAAGGUUUGCUCAGGCUGGUUGGAAAUCAGCCGACGAGUGUAAAAGCAGAAGCAAGCUUGACUGUGAGACCAACAAGGCGAACAGGGAGGAAACUCGGCUUUGGUGAUCCGACGGUUCUGAGUGGAAGGGCCGUCGCUCAACGGAUAAAAGUUACUCUAAGGAUAACAGGCUGAUCUCCCCCAAGAGUUCACAUCGACGGGGAGGUUUGGCACCUCGAUGUCGGCUCAUCGCAACCUGGGGCUGAAGUCGGUCCCAAGGGUUGGGCUGUUCGCCCAUUAAAGCGGUACGCGAGCUGUUCAGAACGUCGUGAGACAGUUCGGUCCAUAUCCGGUGCACGCGCAGGAAUAUUGAGAGGAUUUCUCCCUAGUACGAGAGGACCGGGAGGAACGCACCUCUGGUGUACCAGUUAUCGUGCCAACGGUAAACGCUGGGUAGCCAUGUGCGGAGUGGAUAACCGCUGAAAGCAUCUAAGUGGGAAGCCCACCUCAAGAUGAGUAUUCCCAUGGCGUAAGCCAGUAAGGUCACGGGAAGAACACCCGUUGAUAGGCUCUAUGUGGAAGCGCAGUAAUGCGUGAAGCAGAGGAGUACUAAUAGACCGAGGGCUUGACCA